UCUGAAUCACCUUACUGAAAUAAACUUCUAAAAAAAGUUUUGAAAUCUCAUUUUGUUCAACUAUAUUGAUCUGGCUCUAAAGGCCUGAUCACAAGUCAAAAGCUGAAAAACCUGCAAUAUGUCUGAAGUUUCAUAAAUCAUCUACGGUUUGGAAAUCCGAGUUUGAUUA
Molecule: long non-coding RNA, 169 nt
Organism: Lytechinus variegatus (green sea urchin)
Lineage: Eukaryota; Metazoa; Echinodermata; Echinoidea; Temnopleuroida; Toxopneustidae
Exons: 2
Source: RefSeq, a predicted model, not a curated record